This 87-nucleotide transfer RNA is filed under the name Candidatus Bathyarchaeota archaeon. RNAcentral describes it as "tRNA-Ser". It matches the Rfam family "tRNA". From Rfam's summary of the family: Transfer RNA (tRNA) molecules are approximately 80 nucleotides in length. RNAcentral also lists the same sequence under 2 other names. Lineage: Archaea; Thermoproteati; Candidatus Bathyarchaeota. The record is from RNAcentral.
GUCGGGGUAGCCAAACCUGGUUAAGGCGCGAGCCUGCUAAGCUCGUGGCCCUUACGGGCCGUGCGGGUUCAAAUCCCGCCCCCGACG